Molecule: ribosomal RNA, 490 nt
Filed under: uncultured bacterium
Lineage: Bacteria
Description: partial 16S ribosomal RNA
Rfam family: Bacterial small subunit ribosomal RNA
Source: RNAcentral
AGUGAACGCUGGCGGUAGGCCUAACACAUGCAAGUCGAACGGCAGCACAGUAAGAGCUUGCUCUUACGGGUGGCGAGUGGCGGACGGGUGAGGAAUACAUCGGAAUCUACUUUUUCGUGGGGGAUAACGUAGGGAGACUUACGCUAAUACCGCAUACGACCUACGGGUGAAAGCAGGGGAUCUUCGGACCUUGCGCGAUUGAAUGAGCCGAUGUCGGAUUAGCUAGUUGGCGGGGUAAAGGCCCGCCAAGGCGACGAUCCGUAGCUGGUCUGAGAGGAUGAUCAGCCACACUGGAACUGAGACACGGUCCAGACUCCUACGGGAGGCAGCAGUGGGGAAUAUUGGACAAUGGGCGCAAGCCUGAUCCAGCCAUACCGCGUGGGUGAAGAAGGCCUUCGGGUUGUAAAGCCCUUUUGUUGGGAAAGAAAAGCAGCAGGUUAAUACCCCGCUGUUCUGACGGUACCCAAAGAAUAAGCACCGGCUAACUUCG